Molecule: long non-coding RNA, 3359 nt
Filed under: Ficedula albicollis (Collared flycatcher)
Lineage: Eukaryota; Metazoa; Chordata; Aves; Passeriformes; Muscicapidae
Description: lncRNA (ENSFALG00000023107.1)
Source: RNAcentral
AUGAUGAGGGACUCAGGGGAAUUCUGGCUCAGGAUGUCACCAGCCCCAGUCUCCACUGGGAUAACUGUUCCCUGCCAUCUGCACAGCCUUGGAUGCAGCCACCCAAGGGCUAAACCCAACUUCCCACGAGACAGCAGCAGCACUGCGGGACCUGCAGAGAUGGAUGUCGGUGUUAAAUAUUCAUCAGAGGUGUGGAAUUUACUGGAAGCGCCCAUUAGGAGCCACGCCGUGCCUCCUCCACGCUGCCCGUCCUCCGUGUGCCCACGCCGUGCCUCCUCCACACUGCCCAUCCUCCACGUGCCCACGCUGUGCCUCCUCCACGAUGCCCGUCCUCCAUGUGCCCACACCGUGCCUACAGGCAAAUACCUCUCUCCUCUCGUCCUGCCCCAGCCACGCCGUGCCUCCUCCACGCUGCCCGUCCUGCCUCCUCCACGCUGCCCGUCCUCCAUGUGCCCACGCCGGGACGCGCUGCCAGACCCUCCUCUCCGCCGCCGCUGGGUUUUGGCCCCCGCUGCCUGCUGGCGUUUUGGCAGCCUCACCGCUCCAGCGAUGGCAUGUGUCCAUUUUUUUUUUUUUUUUUUUUUCCUUUUUUUUUUUUUUUUUUUUUCCUUCUUCUCUCUCCCUUUCACAAUCCGUCCUCCCCAGCCUUCUCUGCCGGUGCCUCCGGAGCCGCCUGCGGUGCCAGCUCGCAGGGAAAUUGGCAGCGAGCGCGGCACAGGGAUCCUCCCGCAGCUGACGGAGCCCUGCCAGGCGCAGGCAGCCCUUCUGCCAGCCACCAGCCUUGGCACGGGGGGCCGGGGGGCCGUGGGGGGCUGCCGAGGCUUCCCCCCCCCCCCCCCCCCCCCCCCCCCCCCCCCCCCCCCCCCCCCCCCCCCCCCCCCCCCCCCCCCCCCCCCCCCCCCCCCCCCCCCCCCCCCCCCCUGGCACCGGCACGGCGCGCCCCAGCCGCCGCCACGGCUCCGCUGCCAAAUGCCAAACGGGGGGAGGAACGGGCAGAGAAAGGAGUUGGCUUCGCCGCGCCCGGUGGCAGGGACCCACCAGGGACCCCUUCCCUUCGCCAAGGCCAGCUGGGCGAUGUCCUCGUCCCUCGGCAGCCUGCCCGUGGUGCCGGUGCCACAUGGAGAGGCUGUGCCCCCAGCCCAGCUGGGAAAGCCCAUGGCAGGGAUGGGAGGGAUGGGAGGGAUGGCAGGGAUGGCAGAGAUGGCAGAAAUGGCAGAGAUGGCAGGGAUGGCAGGGACAGCAAGGCUGGCAGGGACAGCAGGGAUGGCAGGGCUGGCAGAGAUGGCACGGACGGCAGAGAUGGCAGGGAUGGCAGGGCUGGCAGGGAUGGCAAGGCUGGCAGGGGUGGCAGGGAUGGCAGAGAUGGCAGUGCUGGCAGGGAUGGCAGGGAUGGCAGGGACAGCAGAAAUGACAAGGACAGCAGUGAUGGCAGGGAUGGCAGGGAUGGCAGGGAUGGCAGGGACGGCUGGCAGGGAUGGCAGGGAGGGCAGGGACAGCAGAAAUGACAAGGACAGCAGUGAUGGCAGGGAUGGCAGGGAUGGCAGGGAUGGCAGGGACGGAGGGAUGGCAGGGAUGGCAGGGAUGGCAGAGAUGACAAGGACAGCCAGGGAUGGCAGUGAUGGCAAUGCUGGCAGGGCUGGCAGGGCUGGCAGGGCUGGCAGGGCUUGCAGGGCUGGCAGGGCUGGCAGGGACAGCAGAGAUGACAAGGACAGCAGUGAUGGCAGGGCUGGCAGGGCUGGCAGGGCUGGCAGGGAUGGCAGGGACAGCAGACCGGCGAUGCUGCGUGGCGAGGACGGCUCCCACAGACACACCUCUUACCCAGCAUCCGUCUGCUGCUUAGGGGGGCCCGGGAAAUUGGGAAGGGGAGAGCGGAGGAGGGACUUGUGGUGAUGGGUGGGGGUUCUGGGGUGCCCUCUGGCCGUGUGUCGGCUGGCACGGCCGUCUCAGCAACAGAGCAUCCCCAACUCGUGCCAAAAUCCUGGCCCCAGUGGUUCAGUCGUGCCAUGACUCCAACCUGGCCAACCAGCAGUGUAGCAGCCAGCCCUGCUUUUCUGGCUUUUCUUCCCAAAACUCCUGGUUUGGGUGUCUCUUUGAAAGUAGAAGUGGGUAUGUGGCUUGUGCCUCCACUGUAGCGUGGAUGCUCCCGGUGCCAAUGCCUUUAGAGGGCCCCUAAGGCCAAGGGACACGGAUGGGAAUCACCAGGCAGGAGACAGGGAACAGCCCAGUUCCAGGAAAUCAGUCAUUUCCUGGGAGCCACAUUCACAGGGGAGCUGGGGCAGGCACCAGGAGCACCCAGAGAGCAGUGGCCAUCCCUGCUUAACAGCUUCCCCCCCUAACCAGGGAUGUCUUUAAUGCAGCUGGCAGGAGGAGCCCUCCACGGGGAGCACGGGCUGUGAGUGGGUCCCACUGGCCCAUCCCAUCCUCCUGCCACGCUUCAGCCGCUGUCCCCGCGGGGUGGCAGCUCCUGGCAUGGCAGUGACCGUCUGUUUGUGCCGUGAGAACAUUCCCAGAGCCAUCCCCGUGUGCCCCGUGCCCCCGCGCCCCGCUGGCUGUCCCCGGCCUGCCCGUGUCACACGUGCGCCCGCCAUCUCCUCAAAUAAGCAGCUAAUCUCCAUCAAUCAUAAUUCCGGGCAAUUAUCAUAAUAGGGCCAUUUUGCACUUAUCCUCGCCACGUGACGCAGGAGCCACUUACAGCUCCACUUCGCACCGAGCAGCUCCGAGCUGCUGCUGUCCCCGGGGAGUGCCCGUGGCACUCGUGUCCCCUGCAGCCCCUGGGGACAGCCAGCGGUGGAUGCUCGUCCUGGGAGGGAUGCAGGCAAGGAGGGACCCGUGAAACACGGAGGAAAACGAGAGAAAGAGGGAGAGCUUGCCCCUGCCUCGUGCCAUCCUGCAGCAGUACGGGGUUAGACCCCAAAAUGGGGACAAUGGGGACACUCAAUCUGCUCUCAGGGUGGUGCCAAUGCCGCGUGGGUGCCAAGGCACAGGGCCAGCAGCCCCUGCUGACCUGCUGCUGCCUGGCAGGGAGCAGCUUAGGGAGGCUGGGGAGUGGUGAGGCACGAGGGCCUCGGGAUUAGGGGCCAGCAGAUGGAUGGAGAUCAAACAUUUCACUGCCUCUUGUUUACAGCAUCCUGCUGAACAGCCACCGGGGACCCCAGCACUGCUCUGGCUCUGUCCCUCCUUGGGCUGGGGCAGGAUGGGGAGAGCUUUUUGGGGUGUCCCACUGGGGAUGAACAGGCUCCCACCUUGCUGUGCUGCGUCCUCACUCUGAGUAACAUCACAGUGGAAGCUGCCAGUGCCCCCAUCCCAUCCCAUCCCAUCCCAUCCCAUCCCAUCCCAUCCCAUCCCAUCCCAUCCCAUCC